UACGAAGGGGGCUAGCGUUGUUCGGAAUCACUGGGCGUAAAGCGCACGUAGGCGGACUUCUAAGUCAGGGGUGAAAUCCCGGGGCUCAACCUCGGAACUGCCUUUGAUACUGGAAGUCUCGAGUCCGAGAGAGGUGAGUGGAACUCCUAGUGUAGAGGUGAAAUUCGUAGAUAUUAGGAAGAACACCAGUGGCGAAGGCGGCUCACUGGCUCGGUACUGACGCUGAGGUGCGAAAGCGUGGGGAGCAAACAGG
RNAcentral lists this ribosomal RNA (253 nucleotides) under uncultured bacterium. RNAcentral's name for it is "partial 16S ribosomal RNA". It matches the Rfam family "Bacterial small subunit ribosomal RNA", at positions 524 to 776 of the family's 1533-position model. The record is from RNAcentral.